AGGUUGCUAAUAAAAUUUUAGCUGAUGACCCCAAGGAGGUGAAGGCUUGGCAGUGCAAGAUUGUGGCUCUCAUCCACCUCGACCAAUUCUCUGAUGCUCUCAACAUCGCUAACAAGUCAAAGUUGACAGAACAGCUGGCGUUUGAGAAGGCAUAUUGUCAGUACCGGCUGAACCAAGUGUCAGAGGCCUAUGACACCAUCUGCAAGGCUGCUGAUGUGACACCUCGCGUCCAGGAGCUCCAGGCACAGAUCCUUUAUCGUCUGGAGAGGUACAGCGAGUGUUUUAUGAUGUGUACCGUGAAAUUAUUCGCACUACUAGUGAUGACUAUGAUGUGGAGCGUGAGACCAACCUGACAGCCGUAGCUGUCAAUUGUGCAUUAGAUGGAACC
Non-coding RNA from Cherax quadricarinatus, 388 nucleotides. Lineage: Eukaryota; Metazoa; Arthropoda; Malacostraca; Decapoda; Parastacidae. The record is from RefSeq and is a predicted model, not a curated record.